RNAcentral lists this long non-coding RNA (777 nucleotides) under Olea europaea subsp. europaea. The record is from RNAcentral. Lineage: Eukaryota; Viridiplantae; Streptophyta; Magnoliopsida; Lamiales; Oleaceae.
CUCUAACGCUUUAGCGUAAGGCCGUGCCCCGAGCAUGCAGCUAAAGCAUACAUUUAGCGUAAGGCCGUGCCUCGUGCAUACAACUAAAUCAUCUCUAAAACUUUAGCAUAAGGCCGUACCCCGUGCAUGCAGCUAAAUCAUCUUACAUUCCUAAGUUUUGACCCGCGCAGGCACUUUUAAGCCUUGUCCUGUACAAGCACCCUAAGUAUUGCCUUAUGCAUACAACUCAAAAUUUCAGCCCCAAGUAAAAAUUCCAACCACAUUUUUCCAUCCUGAGCUUGUUAGGCAUAAUUCAUUCUUAAUGUGCUCAGGCCCUAUCCUUGAGCUCAAUGCAUUGUCAAAAUCCUAGCCAAAGAGCUUGGAAUGAUUAUAUUCAUAAUAGGAGCGAGCUUGCACUCGAGCUUAGUCUCUUAUACAAAUCUUUGCCUAUUCGCUCGAGCUCUUUCAUUUCAAAAUUUUUAAUAAAGCUCAAGCUCGUUCUUUUCAAACUUUAAACAAAGUAUGGGUCUAGCCCCUUACUAUCAAAAUUUUUAAUAAAGUUCGAGGUCGAUCUCCUUCAUUUCAAAUUUUUGGCAGAGCUCGAGGUCAAACUCCUAUCUUUUAAAUUUUUUAACAACGUCGGGUCGAUCCACUUCCUUUCAAAAUUGUUAACAAGAUUAGGGUCAAGCCAAUUCCUUUCAAAUUUUAAAUAAGGUAGGGGUCUAGCACUUCCUUCCAAAACUUUUGACAAGCCUCAAGAUCUAGCUUAUUCCUCUCAAAUUUUUAAAGUAGUCAAAA